This 292-nucleotide small RNA is filed under the name Oryza sativa Japonica Group (Japanese rice). RNAcentral describes it as "sRNA Os03g0815266". The record is from RNAcentral. Lineage: Eukaryota; Viridiplantae; Streptophyta; Magnoliopsida; Poales; Poaceae.
GAAAGGAAACACAACUCAUUUUUUAUUGAUAUAUGUUGGAUGAAUCCAAUAAAACCGAUACAAGUCACGAAAAAUCAGACUAGAUGAAUCCUUCGAGAUCACAUGAGCAAAAGCUUUCGACGAAAGCUGUCCUAUAGUCGUGGAAGCAAUAACACUUGAUAAAGAUAGGAAUUCAGACACGAGAGGUUGCAGACUAUAAGAUGUCAUCAAAUCUCCUUGAACGCCGCGAAGAGAUCACCGUUGAUGUAGUCGUUGUCCACAAGACUAACCAAGAAGUAGCUCUUCUGGACCU